RNAcentral lists this non-coding RNA (88 nucleotides) under Methylotenera mobilis. RNAcentral describes it as "c-di-GMP sequence". It matches the Rfam family "c-di-GMP-I riboswitch aptamer". Rfam says of the family: GEMM was predicted in a large-scale screen for bacterial structured RNA regulatory elements. Genes associated with GEMM are involved in a diverse array of functions, including chemotaxis regulation, signal transduction, secretion and chitin. Lineage: Bacteria; Pseudomonadati; Pseudomonadota; Betaproteobacteria; Nitrosomonadales; Methylophilaceae. The record is from RNAcentral. RNAcentral also lists the same sequence under 1 other name.
AUUUGAAAAAGGCAAACUCAGCUGAAAAGCGAGGGCGCAAAAUCACCGGUCUAAGGGGCGUAAGUUCUAAGAUAGCGGGAGUACCAGA